Molecule: ribosomal RNA, 429 nt
Filed under: uncultured bacterium
Lineage: Bacteria
Description: bacterial SSU rRNA
Rfam family: Bacterial small subunit ribosomal RNA
Source: RNAcentral
UCGAGGAUCAUUCGCAAUGAGCGAAAGCUUGACGAUGCGACGCUGUGUGAACGAUGAAGGCCUUCGGGUUGUAAAGUUCUUUCGCUUGGGAACAAGAGAUUAUAGUGAACAACUAUGAAAUUUGAGGGUACCAGGUAAAGAAGCACCGGCUAACUCCGUGCCAGCAGCUGCGGUAAUACGGAGGGUGCAAGCAUUAAUCGGAUUUAUUGGGCGUAAAGGGCGCGUAGGCGGUUUUGUAAGUCAGAUGUGAAAUACCAAAGCUCAACUUUGGUGCUGCAUUUGAAACUGCAAGACUAGAGGGAUGGCGGAGAAAACGGAAUUCCACGUGUAGCGGUGAAAUGCGUAGAUAUGUGGAAGAACACCUGUGGCGAAAGCGGUUUUCUAGCUAUUACCUGACGCUGAGGCGCGAGAGCAAGGGGAGCAAACAGG